AGAGAAGCUGUGGCUGCCCCAUCCCUGGAAGGGUUCAAGGCCAGGUUGGACGGGGCUAAGGGCAAUCUGGUCUAGUGGAAGGUGUCCCUGCCCGUGGCAGGGGGGUUAGAACUACAUCAUCUUUGAGGUCUGUUCCAACCCAAACAAUUCUGUGAUUGUGGCCCUUUCUACUUGCCAGCAGUGCAAAGGGCUAGGGCCAAGGGGAUGUAAUACUUUAAAUACACACCUACCCUCUGCAUAUUUCAGUUCAGGGUAUCUACCUCUGACAAACAGAUUUUUCAGUGUAGUCCUGUAUUAACUCCUGGCAUAAUGGCAUUUUCCUAAGUAAGCACAAGUUCCAAUGGGUCAAAAAAGACAAAAAUAAACUGGAAACAAAUUGAAAAAA
Molecule: long non-coding RNA, 385 nt
Organism: Pezoporus occidentalis (night parrot)
Lineage: Eukaryota; Metazoa; Chordata; Aves; Psittaciformes; Psittacidae
Exons: 2
Source: RefSeq, a predicted model, not a curated record